This 264-nucleotide ribosomal RNA is filed under the name uncultured bacterium. RNAcentral describes it as "partial 16S ribosomal RNA". It matches the Rfam family "Bacterial small subunit ribosomal RNA", at positions 793 to 1055 of the family's 1533-position model. The record is from RNAcentral.
GUCCACGCCGUAAACGAUGGGUGCUAGGUGUGGGCGGUGUCGACUCCGUCCGUGCCGCAGCUAACGCAUUAAGCACCCCGCCUGGGGAGUACGGCCGCAAGGCUAAAACUCAAAGGAAUUGACGGGGGCCCCGCACAAACAGCGGAGCAUGUGGUUUAAUUCGACGCGACGCGAAGAACCUUACCAAGGCUUGACAUGCACUGGAAUGUCGUAGAAAUACGGCAGCCCUUCGGGGCCGGUGCACAGGUGGUGCAUGGCUGUCGU